ACAGAGGGGGCAAGCGUUGUUCGGAAUUACUGGGCGUAAAGCGUGCGCAGGCGGUUUCGUAAGUCUGUCGUGAAAUCCCCGGGCUUAACCUGGGAAUGGCGAUGGAGACUGCGAGGCUAGAGUUUGGCAGAGGGGGGUGGAAUUCCGCGUGUAGCAGCGAAAUGCGUAGAGAUGCGGAGGAACACCGAUGGCGAAGGCAGCCCCCUGGGUCGACACUGACGCUCAGGCACGAAAGCGUGGGGAGCAAACAGGA
Molecule: ribosomal RNA, 253 nt
Filed under: uncultured prokaryote
Description: partial 16S ribosomal RNA
Rfam family: Bacterial small subunit ribosomal RNA
Source: RNAcentral